AAUCAACGCUGGCGGCGUGCCUAACACAUGCAAGUCGAACGCGAAAGAGGAGCAAUCCUUAAGUAGCGUGGCAAACGGGUGAGUAACACGUGGGUGACCUGCCUUCGAGUGGGGGAUAACCUUCCGAAAGGAGGGCUAAUACCGCAUGAAAUACCGUGUUUAGAUACAUGGAUAUCAAAGCCGGGGAUCGCAAGACCUGGCGCUUGAAGAGGGGCCCGCGUCCGAUUAGCUAGUUGGUGAGGUAACGGCUCACCAAGGCUCCGAUCGGUAUCCGGCCUGAGAGGGCGGACGGACACACUGGAACUGAAACACGGUCCAAACUCCUACGGGAGGCAGCAGUGGGGAAUUGUUCGCAAUGGGCGAAAGCCUGACGACCCAACGCCGCGUGGAGGAUGAAAAAUUUCGGUUCGUAAACUCCUUUCGACCGAAAUGAAUACCCAUGGACUUAAUACGUCUGUGGGCUGACAGUAUCGAGAGAAGAAGCCCCGGCUAACUCUGUG
This 500-nucleotide ribosomal RNA is filed under the name uncultured bacterium. RNAcentral's name for it is "bacterial SSU rRNA". It matches the Rfam family "Bacterial small subunit ribosomal RNA", at positions 32 to 507 of the family's 1533-position model. The record is from RNAcentral.